Long non-coding RNA from Aegilops tauschii subsp. strangulata, 587 nucleotides. RefSeq lists it as uncharacterized. The record is from RefSeq and is a predicted model, not a curated record. NCBI's taxonomy places the organism in Eukaryota, Viridiplantae, Streptophyta, Magnoliopsida, Poales, Poaceae.
CGCCGCGGACGCUUCGAGCUAGUACCGUUAUUCCACUGAGCUGAGCUUCGUGAGAGAGAGGAUUCGAGAAAGUGAGGUCCGCCGUCCGACGGUCCAGGCUCGUGGUCGUGGCCAGCGACAGAGGGAGCAGCCGCUGCCUGACUCCGGCGCGCCCAAGCCUCGGCCGGGUCUGGAGUAGCUGCUCUAGCAUGCCGUCGUUCCCCUCCUAGACUGAGCAGAUCCAUUGGAGAAGGUGGGGACCUGCAGGGCAUGAGGUCGGCUGGGUGCGGCGCUGCUUCACCGGGAUGCCGCAGGAGGUCGUGCAGGCGCACAUCAAGACGGGAGGCCGAUGCACACUCGUCAGACAGAGAUUCAAGGCACAACAACAAACCUAUGGAUGAUGAAGCGCGGGAGCUCCUUCCAUGCCGAAGAACACCAUAGAUGCUGGUCCAUGUGAGAGGGCAAUUCUCUAUCGAUCCUGAUCUAUUCUCGUGUGAUCCACAAUGGAGUAGAUAGAUAGGAGAAAGGGUGUUGGAGAUUUUGGCGGCAGUCUGUUGAUACGCGGGAGAAAGAAAGGCAGUUUUGCUGAUUUUCUGUAAUUAGAGAUA